Molecule: non-coding RNA, 112 nt
Organism: Acanthosepion pharaonis
Lineage: Eukaryota; Metazoa; Mollusca; Cephalopoda; Sepiida; Sepiidae
Source: the annotation of a GenBank genome assembly
UUACGGCCGUAUCACGUUGAAACACCGGUUCUCGUACGAUCAGCGAAUUUAAACAACGUCGAGCCUGGUUAGUACCUACAUGGGUGACCGAUUGGACAUACCAGGUGCUGGA